UGGAAGAGAACACGACCAUCCAAAGUUUUUGUUUGACAUCACUUAACAUUUUAUCCUAAAGUAACAGAGUUAAUAAUUAUUCUACCCUUGAUAUGUUUCAUAAAUCAAAGUUAAAGUUGAAUGCAAGAUAAAAAAUAUUUGCAUUGAAGGAUUUUAAAGUCUGUCUGAUACAGGAAGCAGGAAGUAGAGACUGAAAAGAGAACAUGACUUCAUCUGUGUGGUUUUCCCCUGUUGAAUCCAAAGUAAUCCUCUGCAUGGAUCCCUCUGAAAGCAAUGGCUGUUUUUCUCGUCUCCGUGUACAUUCACCACACGAGUGUUGCAGUCAUGUUGCUUCUUGGGAAGUCAUGGGAUUCCUUUGGAAAAACAACGCCGCAGGGGGAAGAAGACGGCGUACGAGGAGACUUUGUGGGAAGAACAGUGUAAGCUCUGUCUCAAACACUUCCCUCUGGUAUCAAAGCAAAGACCCCGUGACAUGUCGGGUUCUUGUUAUUCACAGUUGACAUUACAUCUGAUGUUUGCAACAAAUAAAGCACGCAGGAACUUCAAUGAACCCUGCUGUAUCUAGGAAAAUAACAAAUACCCAUGGCUGAUUUGUUGUUUAGUGAACGGGCAUCAAGUGAGCAUUAAAAAUCAGACUGGAUUAAA
Notolabrus celidotus (New Zealand spotty) is the source of this 645-nucleotide long non-coding RNA. RefSeq lists it as uncharacterized. The transcript has 2 exons. NCBI's taxonomy places the organism in Eukaryota, Metazoa, Chordata, Actinopteri, Labriformes, Labridae. The record is from RefSeq and is a predicted model, not a curated record.